RNAcentral lists this ribosomal RNA (284 nucleotides) under Exiguobacterium acetylicum. Its description in RNAcentral is "partial 16S ribosomal RNA". It matches the Rfam family "Bacterial small subunit ribosomal RNA", at positions 31 to 293 of the family's 1533-position model. The record is from RNAcentral. Lineage: Bacteria; Bacillati; Bacillota; Bacilli; Caryophanales.
GAACGCUGGCGGCGUGCCUAAUACAUGCAAGUCGAGCGCAGGAAACUGACGGAACUCUUCGGAGGGAAGGCAGUGGAAUGAGCGGCGGACGGGUGAGUAACACGUAAGGAACCUGCCUCAAGGAUUGGGAUAACUCCGAGAAAUCGGAGAUAAUACCGGAUAGUUCAUCGGACCGCAUGGUCCAAUGAUGAAAGGCGCUUCGGCGUCACCUUGAGAUGGCCUUGCGGUGCAUUAGCUAGUUGGUGGGGUAACGGCCCACCAAGGCGACGAUGCAUAGCCGACCU